CUGUAGUGCACUGGCAGUGUGUGCUCAUCGAUAUGCUUGAAGGUCCUGGAGUUCUCACUGUAGCAAAUCACAAAGGGCUUCCAUUUUGUUUGUGUCUACAGCAUUGUCCCCAAACGAGACUGUUAUCCUAUCCUUAAAAGCCUUGAAACCUGGCAUUGAUGUGGCCUCCUUAUGGAUGAAAGUCCUUUCAGGCAUCUGUUUCCAGAAUAGGGAGGAUUCAUUCAUAUUGAAUAUUUGUUCUGGCAAGUAAUUUUCCUCCACAAUCAGCUUAUCUAGAGUUUCCAAAAAUUCUUAAGCUGCCUUCACAUCAACACCCACAGCCUCACCCCUCACUUUCACAUUAUGUAAUGAAUAAAGAUUCUUGAAUCUUUUAAACCACCCAGAGCGAGCAGUAAAUUCAACGUCGGAGUUGGGUCCAGCCUUUUUCCGUCAUCAUCACAAACAAAGUCUUGCUUUGGCCUUGAUCAUCAUGGUGCUGAGACGGAUGUGCUUCUGUUUCUUGUCUUCAGUCCAGGUCACUAGAAGUUUCUGCAUGUCUGACAUAGGCUCUUCUUGAAUUUUUGUUAGUCUCACUGCCUACGAUGAAGCAGAUGCUUUAACAGCUUCCAUCACUUUGUUCUUGUUUUUCAAGAGCAUAUGUGUGGUGGAAUGGGACAUGCCUGACUGGCGAGCAAUAACCGUCACUGAUUUUCCACCUUCAUAGUCUUUAAUCACUUUUUGUUUUGUUUCCAGGUCAAUCACUUGAUGUGACUCUCACUGGCAACAUUAGCAGUGGAUUUUGGAUGCUUAGGGGCCAUAAUAAACAAAAUAACACAAGAUUAAAUCAAGCACAAGAGAGAAUGAUGCAAUCAAGAGACGGUAAACACAAGUGUGGCUUGAUGAGCGGUGCUGGGUCUGCGCCCAGGAUCUGAACCUAUGAACCCCAGGCCAUGGCAGCAGAGCAUGUGAAGUUCACCACUGCACCACCAGGCAGGCACCUAUUGCUGUUGUUUUUAAGAUGUAAUUUGUUACAAGUAUUUCUAAAUCUAGAAAUUAUG
This 1037-nucleotide long non-coding RNA is filed under the name Equus caballus (horse). Its description in RNAcentral is "lncRNA (ENSECAG00000058784.1)". The record is from RNAcentral. Lineage: Eukaryota; Metazoa; Chordata; Mammalia; Perissodactyla; Equidae.